AUUGAACGCUGGCGGCAUGCCUUACACAUGCAAGUCGAACGGCAGCGCGGACUUCGGUCUGGCGGCGAGUGGCGAACGGGUGAGUAAUACAUCGGAACGUACCCUGUUGUGGGGGAUAACUAGUCGAAAGAUUAGCUAAUACCGCAUACGACCUGAGGGUGAAAGUGGGGGACCGCAAGGCCUCACGCAGCAGGAGCGGCCGAUGUCUGAUUAGCUAGUUGGUGGGGUAAAGGCCCACCAAGGCGACGAUCAGUAGCUGGUCUGAGAGGACGAUCAGCCAGACUGGGACGGGGACACGGCCCAGACUCCUAAGGGAGGCAGCAGUGGGGAAUUUUGGACAAUGGGGGCAACCCUGAUCCAGCAUUGCCGCGUGUGGGAAGAAGGCCUUCGGGUUGUAAAGCACUUUUGUCCGGAAAGAAAACGCGCUGGUUAAUACCUGGCGUGGAUGACGGUACCGGAAGAAUAAGCACCGGCUAACUACGUGCCAGCCGCCGCCGUAA
This 500-nucleotide ribosomal RNA is filed under the name uncultured bacterium. RNAcentral's name for it is "partial 16S ribosomal RNA". It matches the Rfam family "Bacterial small subunit ribosomal RNA", at positions 29 to 523 of the family's 1533-position model. The record is from RNAcentral.